This 465-nucleotide ribosomal RNA is filed under the name uncultured bacterium. Its description in RNAcentral is "partial 16S ribosomal RNA". It matches the Rfam family "Bacterial small subunit ribosomal RNA", at positions 339 to 795 of the family's 1533-position model. The record is from RNAcentral.
CUACGGGUUGCUGCAGUGGGGAAUAUUGGACAAUGGGGGAAACCCUGAUCCAGCAAUGCCGCGUGUGUGAAGAAGGCCUGCGGGUUGUAAAGCACUUUCGGUUGGGAGGACUGCUUCUAGCACUAAUAUUGUUGGAAGUUGACGUUACCUUCAGAAGAAGCACCGGCUAACUCCGUGCCAGCAGCCGCGGUAAUACGGAGGGUGCAAGCGUUAAUCGGAAUUACUGGGCGUAAAGCGCGCGUAGGCGGCUAGAUCAGUCGGGUGUGAAAGCCCCGGGCUUAACCUGGGAACUGCAUCCGAUACUGUCUAGCUUGAGUACAGGAGAGGAGAGUGGAAUUCCAUAUGUAGCGGUGAAAUGCGUAGAUAUGUGGAGGAACACCAAUGGCGAAGGCAGCUCUCUGGCCUGAUACUGACGCUGAGGUGCGAAGGCGUGGGGAGCAAACAGGAUUAGAUACCCCUGUAGUC